AGGAAGCUAUGGCGAGUAGACUGGAGUUCCAGCUCUUGGUUCCGCACGGUCCAGCCCAAGCCCUUGUUUUGCGCAUUACGUCAGAGGAAGGAUCGAGCGAGACUGAGAAUACAUUCUAAACUGUGCAGGCCACACAAGUGGCUAAAAUCUCAGAAAAAUAGCCUCAAGUUGAAAGGAAGAAGUGAUCAGAAGUUUAAUGACUGAUAUUCACUGUCUCUGAAGACUCUACUGACAAUUCAUUUCUCAAUAAGAUGUUUUCGCAAGAACCAGCUGAGUCCCUUGGAAAGAAAGCCUGCCCGUAACCAAACUGGAAAAGAAGGGAGACAGCCAUUUGGAAACUAUGAUGGUCAGCGUGAUUCCACCUAAGGAAAGAGCCAGAGGAGGGAAACCCCUUACCUGGUCAACGUAGGGAACGUGGAGGAAGCUGCAUCUUUGGAAGAGUUGAUCAGUUCUGGGACACCAACACCCGCAAUCUCCUCUAUGGCCUUCAGGACACUGUCCGUGUGCUCCAGGAGAUGUAGAUUUCUCCAGAAUGACCAUCAGAAGUCUGAUGAGAUAGAGAGCACACUGGAAACUGGGGAUACUGUGACAGAAAUUCUGUAAGUAAUGGAAGCUUUGGCUGUAAAGAGACAAAGAAAUAAAAAGCAACACAAGUAUUACAGAAAUGUCCAAAUCCAUCAACUAAGUUCAG
Molecule: long non-coding RNA, 691 nt
Organism: Talpa occidentalis (Iberian mole)
Lineage: Eukaryota; Metazoa; Chordata; Mammalia; Eulipotyphla; Talpidae
Exons: 3
Source: RefSeq, a predicted model, not a curated record